GGGCCUUAGAACAGUGUUUUCUCAAAUACUGUAUACCAGGAAAUCCUCCUGGCAUUUAAGAUCAUCAUCUCCCUCAAGCCUUCCUGUCAGAAAAAGAACAGCCCUAAGUGAAAUGCUGCAGAUCAGUGAGUUGGUAAACCAGCUCUGGAAACAGUGUGUUACAGCCGAUCAGACCUCUGAAAAUAUCCCACUUUGAAGAUGUAAGAAUGAGAGAGACACAUCUGAAUUAGGACGCAGAGAAGCAAUUGAGUCUAAGGCAUUUGAUGUUGCUGAUUUUGGGGAGGAACACACAAGAAGAAAUAGGAAAAAGGCUUCUGCACAGAUCUCAAAGUUUCAGAGAGUAUUAAAGCUUUGAUAGUCAUCUGUUGCCACCAGAAUCACUGUCAUGACUGCCUUUUAUGGAUAAUUAUUUCAUAGUCACCGGAAAUAGAAGCCUACCAACUUAAGUUCUGAUGAUAGUUGGCCACUAAUAAAGUGGAGAAC
This is a long non-coding RNA of Mustela erminea (ermine), 483 nucleotides long. RefSeq lists it as uncharacterized. The record is from RefSeq and is a predicted model, not a curated record. NCBI's taxonomy places the organism in Eukaryota, Metazoa, Chordata, Mammalia, Carnivora, Mustelidae. The transcript has 4 exons.